CCUACGGGGCGCAGCAGUGGGGAAUAUUGGACAAUGGGCGAAAGCCUGAUCCAGCCAUGCCGCGUGUGUGAAGAAGGCCUUCGGGUUGUAAAGCACUUUCAGUGGGGAAGAAAGCCUUGGGGCUAAUACCCUCGAGGAAGGACAUCACCCACAGAAGAAGCACCGGCUAACUCCGUGCCAGCGGCCGCGGUAAUACGGAGGGUGCGAGCGUUAAUCGGAAUUACUGGGCGUAAAGCGCGCGUAGGCGGUCUGAUAAGCCGGUUGUGAAAGCCCCGGGCUCAACCUGGGAACGGCAUCCGGAACUGUCGGGUGAGUGGGAAGGGAGGAGAGAGAAAAUUCCCGGGGGAGGGGGGACAGGCGGAGGGACCGGAGGGAAUACCAGGGGCAGAGGCGGCCUUAUGGACUAACAAGGCGGCUGAGGGGCGAAACCGUGGGGAGAAAACGGGAUCAGAGCCCCAGGUAGUC
This 465-nucleotide ribosomal RNA is filed under the name Vreelandella stevensii. Its description in RNAcentral is "partial 16S ribosomal RNA". It matches the Rfam family "Bacterial small subunit ribosomal RNA", at positions 338 to 795 of the family's 1533-position model. Lineage: Bacteria; Pseudomonadati; Pseudomonadota; Gammaproteobacteria; Oceanospirillales; Halomonadaceae. The record is from RNAcentral.